AAGAGAUGUCGAGCUUUCUUCUGGGAAGGAACAGAGCAGAUUCAUGGAGGGCAGUGCUUAGUCUCUUGGCAAAAGGUAUGUAGACCUAAGGAGCUGGGCGGCCUCGGCAUCAUGGACCUAAAAAGACACGGUCUAGCUUUAAGACUGCGCUGGGAGUGGAUACAACGCACUGAUUCCACUAAACCAUGGCACGGUCUGUCGAUGACAUGCGACCCACAAGUUCAGAUAGCUUUCAACAGCUUGGUGCAUUGGAGGUUAGGAUCUGGGGAUAAGGUGCUAUUUUGGAAGGACAGAUGGAUUGAUGGGGCCUCGAUCGAUGAUAUUGCACCUGAUGUCAAGAAACUGAUUCGCACCCAAACCGCCAACAAGAGAUUGGUGAAGGAUGGAUUACUAAAUCAUAGAUGGGCAUCGGACAUAACAGGAGAGUUGUCCACCGAUGGCCUAAUCCAGCUGAUCCGACUUUGGGAGAUCAUGCUGAACACGCAGCUCAACCCCAACCAGCAAGAUGAGGCGAUCUGGCCAUGGAACGAACGCGGAGUCUACACUUCUGCUUCGGCUUAUAAGAUGCUAUUCAUGGGA
RNAcentral lists this ribosomal RNA (579 nucleotides) under Triticum aestivum (bread wheat). Its description in RNAcentral is "partial small subunit ribosomal RNA". The record is from RNAcentral. Lineage: Eukaryota; Viridiplantae; Streptophyta; Magnoliopsida; Poales; Poaceae.